AGCAGCCGCCACGGUAAUACGAAGGGUGCAAGCGUUACUCGGAAUUACUGGGCGUAAAGCGUGCGUAGGUGGUUUGUUAAGUCAGAUGUGAAAUCCCCGAGCUUAACUUGGGAACUGCAUUUGAAACUGGCAAGCUAGAGUCUUGUAGAGGGGGGUAGAAUUCCAGGUGUAGCGGUGAAAUGCGUAGAGAUCUGGAGGAAUACCGGUGGCGAAGGCGGCCCCCUGGACAAAGACUGACGCUCAGGUGCGAAAGCGUGGGGAGCAAACAGGAUUAGAUACCCCAGUAGUCCCUGUCUCUUAUAC
RNAcentral lists this ribosomal RNA (303 nucleotides) under uncultured bacterium. RNAcentral describes it as "partial 16S ribosomal RNA". It matches the Rfam family "Bacterial small subunit ribosomal RNA", at positions 507 to 807 of the family's 1533-position model. The record is from RNAcentral.